Anguilla rostrata (American eel) is the source of this 967-nucleotide long non-coding RNA. RefSeq lists it as uncharacterized. The record is from RefSeq and is a predicted model, not a curated record. The transcript is spliced from 2 exons. Lineage: Eukaryota; Metazoa; Chordata; Actinopteri; Anguilliformes; Anguillidae.
CAAAACAGUAUCACUAGACACAAAACAGGCCCCUCUCCCCCCAGACUACAUCCUCUGCACAGAUACAGUCACGCAUGCAUGCAUGAAUGCAACGUGCACACACACACAUUACAUUACAUUACAUUACAGGCAUUUAGCAGACGCUCUUAUCCAGAGCGACGUACAACAAGUGCAUUAGUUCAAGGUGCAGAGGUGAUAUUAAUGAUAUUGCUAUACAGAAGACACAAAUAUGGGCAUUUUGGGUUAGCCAGAAAGUUGGAGCUAGAGCAAGGGUGUCCUGUCUUAUCUGAAAAGGGCCAGUGUGGGUACAGGCUUUUGUUUUAGCCCAGCAAGAAGACACCUGAUUCUACUUAUCAAGGUCAUGAUUGAAGACCAUGAUUAGUUAAUUAGUUCAAUCAGGUCUUGCAGCUAAAAUAAAAACCAGCAACCACACCGGCCCUUUUUAAAUAAGAUUUGACACCCCGGAGCUAGAGUCAGAUCAGAGAAGAGAUGUAUAACUCCCGCACCCCGAAAGCAUGCAUUUCUAUAUUGUUCAGAAAGGAGAUACACUUUGUGAGAUUAAUUUCCUGUAAUCUGGUUUGUCCUGGACUGUUUUAUCCAGCAUUUCAUCAUCGGUCAGUGAGUGGGCUCAGAUUGACACAUCCAAAUGGAACCUCACCUACAGGAGACUGUGAUUCAAAAGGUGAAAUAACUGACUGGUUUGGUUUGGAGACCACAUCCAUUGAGCCUAAACAGAUUUAUCCCACACCAAUGUGUCAACCUAGUCAGACUCAGACUAUCAUGAGUUUUAUGAGUCUGAUGAGUGAGUCUGUGCUCCAGAAAAUUUAGCUGGUUAAAAUACAGUAAAGAAAAAAUAAUCAUGGAUGGACCUGAGUGUUGAUGCUCCUUUGUCUCAGUGUAGGAUCUGUAUGAAUUUUAAAUGUUCUUGUUUUGCUGAAGUGCUCAAUAAAGAAUAGAUGUGUGCAAA